RNAcentral lists this long non-coding RNA (652 nucleotides) under Ananas comosus (pineapple). RNAcentral describes it as "long non-coding RNA (ACOM_LNC031082)". The record is from RNAcentral. Lineage: Eukaryota; Viridiplantae; Streptophyta; Magnoliopsida; Poales; Bromeliaceae.
UCAUCGAAAACACUGCAUCUAGAUGUAAUAUUAGAUAUUUAAUCACUUCUCGUCCACCAAAUACUCUAAGUUUCUUAAGUUUUUUUUUUUUUUUUUUUUUUUUUUGAGUGAGAAACAUAAUAAACUACGUGCUGAUUUUUUUUUUUAAUAUACUCAACUAAAAAUAUGAAACAACUAAACUUGGAAGUUGAAAUUUAGGAUACUACCUAGUAAGCUCUUAGCCAACUACACAAAGGACGUCAGUUUCUUGAGUAAAAAUUAUUAUUUGCUUCUGAUUCAUCUAUUUGAUCAUUUUUACCAUUUCGUCAACUUUUAAUUCUCAUGCAGAUAUACAAAUGCAUUGCAAGUAGAUAAUUACUCGGUCUUUGAUUAAAAAUAGACAAAAACAUAUAAAAGUUAUCUGAACUAUGAAUCGUUUUGAGUCGACUAUCCAAUUUUUUAAAAUUUUGAUUUUAUUAUUCAACCUUUCAAUUUGUUUUAUUUGAAUCAGCCGAUAAUAGCUUAACUUCAAAAUUUAAUUGCAUUGUUUAUCUUUACAUCUUAGUUAGCAUUACUUUAUGCAAUUCUCACAGCUAUUGAUCCAUAGUUCAAAUAAAUUUCAUAUGUUUUUACCUUUAAAAAAAUAUGCAUAACAACUAAAAUGAAACCCUUA